This 378-nucleotide ribosomal RNA is filed under the name uncultured bacterium. Its description in RNAcentral is "bacterial SSU rRNA". It matches the Rfam family "Bacterial small subunit ribosomal RNA", at positions 29 to 404 of the family's 1533-position model. The record is from RNAcentral.
AUUGAACGCUGGCGGAAUGCUUUACACAUGCAAGUCGAGCGGCAGCGCGGGGGCAACCCUGGCGGCGAGCGGCGAACGGGUGGGUAAUACAUCGGAACGUGUCCUUAAGUGGGGGAGUAGCUCGGCGAAAGCCGGAUUAAUACCGCAUAAGCUCUGAGGAGGAAAGCGGGGGCUCCGUAAGGACCUCGCGCUGUUGGAGCGGCCGAUGUCGGAUUAGCUAGUUGGUGGGGUAAAGGCCCACCAAGGCGACGAUCCGUAGCUGGUCUGAGAGGAUGAUCAGCCACACUGGAACUGAGACACGGUCCAGACUCCUACGGGAGGCAGCAGUGGGGAAUUUUGGUACAAUGGGGGCAACCCUGAUCCAGCCAUUCCGCGUGA